This 76-nucleotide transfer RNA is filed under the name Thermoplasmata archaeon. RNAcentral describes it as "tRNA-Gln". It matches the Rfam family "tRNA". From Rfam's summary of the family: Transfer RNA (tRNA) molecules are approximately 80 nucleotides in length. Their secondary structure includes four short double-helical elements and three loops (D, anti-codon, and T loops). Lineage: Archaea; Methanobacteriati; Thermoplasmatota; Thermoplasmata. RNAcentral also lists the same sequence under 2 other names. The record is from RNAcentral.
AGCCCCGUAGUGUAGCGGUCAAUCAUGCGGGACUCUGGAUCCUGCGACGGCAGUUCGAAUCUGCCCGGGGCUACCA